RNAcentral lists this long non-coding RNA (551 nucleotides) under Homo sapiens (human). Its description in RNAcentral is "non-protein coding lnc-CFAP53-2:1". Lineage: Eukaryota; Metazoa; Chordata; Mammalia; Primates; Hominidae. The record is from RNAcentral.
GAAGCCCUACAUUCUGCUGCUGCUGCAGAGUGAUGAUUUUUAACAGACCAGAACUUACACAUCUAAAUGAGUGUUGUUGUUCAGUGAAGUCACCUUAGGACAAUGAUUUAAAUAACACCGCGAUUUCUCAAGAAGUUUGGAACUUCUCUUAUGGUUGAGUUCAAAGCCAUUUUAUGUUAUAUGUGGCCCAAACAAGUUUUAUUAGUACAAUUAAAUCUUUAUUGAGGACUUUUGAUGGACCACAUAGUGAACUUGGACUGGGAAUCAAAAGAAUGGUAAGGCAGGGUGUCUGCCUUCACUGUGCCUGCAGUCUGGCUGAGAUGCACAUGUGAGCCACACUAGCACAAGCCAGCAUGCACUGGCCUGUCACAAGAGAGUGCACAAGGGUCUGGAUCCCUGACCCUGAUGAGGUAUGGCGCUCAGCUGAGUUAACCAAGGACUACAAAGAAGGAGACAAGAGCCUACAGCUCAGACUGGAGGAUGAAACGAUUCUGGAAUACCCAAUUGAUGUACAACGCAACCAGCUGCCCUUCUUACGGAAUCCAGAUAUC